CCUACGGGUGGCAGCAGUGGGGAAUAUUGGACAAUGGGGGCAACCCUGAUCCAGCCAUGCCGCGUGUGUGAAGAAGGCCCUCGGGUUGUAAAGCACUUUCAGUGAGGAAGAACGCCUGGUGGUUAAUACCCAUCAGGAAAGACAUCACUCACAGAAGAAGCACCGGCUAACUCCGUGCCAGCAGCCGCGGUAAUACGGAGGGUGCGAGCGUUAAUCGGAAUUACUGGGCGUAAAGCGCGCGUAGGUGGCUUGAUAAGCCGGUUGUGAAAGCCCCGGGCUCAACCUGGGAACGGCAUCCGGAACUGUCAAGCUAGAGUGCAGGAGAGGAAGGUAGAAUUCCCGGUGUAGCGGCGAAAUGCGUAGAGAUCGGGAGGAAUACCAGUGGCGAAGGCGGCCUUCUGGACUGACACUGACACUGAGGUGCGAAAGCGUGGGUAGCAAACAGGAUUAGAUACCCCGGUAGUC
Molecule: ribosomal RNA, 465 nt
Filed under: Vreelandella stevensii
Lineage: Bacteria; Pseudomonadati; Pseudomonadota; Gammaproteobacteria; Oceanospirillales; Halomonadaceae
Description: partial 16S ribosomal RNA
Rfam family: Bacterial small subunit ribosomal RNA
Source: RNAcentral